RNAcentral lists this ribosomal RNA (225 nucleotides) under Centropyge nox (midnight angelfish). RNAcentral's name for it is "partial 16S ribosomal RNA". The record is from RNAcentral. Lineage: Eukaryota; Metazoa; Chordata; Actinopteri; Pomacanthidae.
GCCGAAAAGCUAGCCCAUCCCCCCAAGAACAACAAAUCACUAUUAAUAACCCCGAAUAAGUUAACCCCUUAAUCAACAAACCAUUUUUCCCCCUUAGUAGAGGCGAUAGAAAAGGAACUACGGCGCCAUAGAGAAAGUACCGCAAGGGAAAGCUGAAAAAGAAAUGAAACAGCCCAGUUAAGCACAGAAAAGCAGAGAUUCCCCCUCGUACCUUUGGCAUCAUGA